Molecule: ribosomal RNA, 644 nt
Filed under: uncultured bacterium
Lineage: Bacteria
Description: bacterial SSU rRNA
Rfam family: Bacterial small subunit ribosomal RNA
Source: RNAcentral
AUGCUUAACACAUGCAAGUCGAACGAAGUAGCAAUACUUAGUGGCAAACGGGUGAGUAACACGUAGUCAACCUACCUUUAAGUGGGGGAUAACUAGCCGAAAGGUUAGCUAAUACCGCAUGUGAUCUCCGAGUGGCAUCACUUGGCGAUCAAAGCAGCAAUGCGCUUAGAGACGGGACUGCGUCCCAUUAGCUAGUUGGUGGGGUAAUGGCCUACCAAGGCUCCGAUGGGUAGCUGGCUUGAGAGAGCGACCAGCCACACUGGAACUGAGACACGGUCCAGACUCCUACGGGAGGCAGCAGUGAGGAAUUUUCCGCAAUGGGGGCAACCCUGACGGAGCGACGCCGCGUGUGGGAAGAAGGCCUUCGGGUCGUAAACCACUGUCGAAGGGGACGAUAUUGACGGUACCCUUGGAGGAAGCCCCGGCUAACUACGUGCCAGCAGCCGCGGUAAGACGUAGGGGGCAAGCGUUGUCCGGAAUCAUUGGGCGUAAAGCGCUCGUAGGCGGACUUUUAAGUCGGCGAAGAAAGACCUGGGCUCAACUCAGGGAACGGCGUCGAUACUAUUGGUCUUGAGGUAAUUAGAGGAUGAUGGAAUUCCCGGUGUAGCGGUGAAAUGCGUAGAUAUCGGAAGGAACACCAGUGG